GGGGAAUUGUCAAUCCAAGCAGUGGAC
RNAcentral lists this non-coding RNA (27 nucleotides) under Cricetulus griseus (Chinese hamster). The record is from RNAcentral. Lineage: Eukaryota; Metazoa; Chordata; Mammalia; Rodentia; Cricetidae.